GACGAACGCUGGCGGCGUGCCUAAUACAUGCAAGUAGAACGCACAGUUUAUACCGUAGCUUGCUACACCAUAAACUGUGAGUUGCGAACGGGUGAGUAACGCGUAGGUAACCUGCCUGGUAGCGGGGGAUAACUAUUGGAAACGAUAGCUAAUACCGCAUAAUAUUGAUUAUUGCAUGAUAAUUGAUUGAAAGAUGCUAUUGCAUCACUACCAGAUGGACCUGCGUUGUAUUAGCUAGUAGGCGAGGUAACGGCUCACCUAGGCGACGAUACAUAGCCGACCUGAGAGGGUGAUCGGCCACACUGGGACUGAGACACGGCCCAGACUCCUACGGGAGGCAGCAGUAGGGAAUCUUCGGCAAUGGACGAAAGUCUGACCGAGCAACGCCGCGUGAGUGAAGAAGGUUUUCGGAUCGUAAAGCUCUGUUGUAAGAGAAGAACGGGUGUGAGAGUGGAAAGUUCACACUGUGACGGUAUCUUACCAGAAAGGGACGGCUAACUACGUG
RNAcentral lists this ribosomal RNA (505 nucleotides) under uncultured bacterium. RNAcentral's name for it is "partial 16S ribosomal RNA". It matches the Rfam family "Bacterial small subunit ribosomal RNA", at positions 28 to 507 of the family's 1533-position model. The record is from RNAcentral.